This 468-nucleotide ribosomal RNA is filed under the name uncultured bacterium. RNAcentral describes it as "partial 16S ribosomal RNA". It matches the Rfam family "Bacterial small subunit ribosomal RNA", at positions 28 to 507 of the family's 1533-position model. The record is from RNAcentral.
GACGAACGCUGGCGGCAUGCUUAACACAUGCAAGUCGAACGGAAAGGCCCUGCUUUUGUGGGGUGCUCGAGUGGCGAACGGGUGAGUAACACGUGAGUAACCUGCCCUUGACUUUGGGAUAACUUCAGGAAACUGGGGCUAAUACCGGAUAGGAGCUCCUGCUGCAUGGUGGGGGUUGGAAAGUUUCGGCGGUUGGGGAUGGACUCGCGGCUUAUCAGCUUGUUGGUGGGGUAGUGGCUUACCAAGGCUUUGACGGGUAGCCGGCCUGAGAGGGUGACCGGCCACAUUGGGACUGAGAUACGGCCCAGACUCCUACGGGAGGCAGCAGUGGGGAAUAUUGCACAAUGGGCGGAAGCCUGAUGCAGCAACGCCGCGUGCGGGAUGACGGCCUUCGGGUUGUAAACCGCUUUCGCCUGUGACGAAGCGUUAGUGACGGUAAUGGGUAAAGAAGCACCGGCUAACUACGUG